CAAGCUGGCCAGGCGGUCGCGCCCGGCAUCUGCAGGGUGAGGAAAGUCCGGGCUCCACAGGGUACGGUGCUGGGUAACACCCAGGCAGGGUGACCUGACGGAAGAGGGCCACAGAAAAGCAAACAGCCUGGAGGCGGGUAUGACGGUUCGCCGCUCUGCUCGCCAGUCAACCAGGUGAUGGUGAAAAGGUGGUGUAAGAGACCACCGGCGCCCGCGGCGACGCGGGUGGCCAGGCAACCCCCACCGGGAGCAAGGCCAAGCAGGGACAAGGUCCGCUUCGGCGGCCGCGGGGCGGCCCGCUCCGCCACAGUCCUGGGUAGGCUGCUAGAGGCGACGGGUAACCGCCGCCCCAGAUAGAUGAUCGCUACCCCAACUCCGGUUGGGAGCACAGAACCCGGCUUAUCGGCUAGCUUGAGCG
Molecule: RNase P RNA, 418 nt
Filed under: Anaerolineales bacterium
Lineage: Bacteria; Bacillati; Chloroflexota; Anaerolineae; Anaerolineales
Description: RNase P RNA component class A
Rfam family: Bacterial RNase P class A
About the family: Ribonuclease P (RNase P) is a ubiquitous endoribonuclease, found in archaea, bacteria and eukarya as well as chloroplasts and mitochondria. Its best characterised activity is the generation of mature 5'-ends of tRNAs by cleaving the 5'-leader elements of precursor-tRNAs.
Source: RNAcentral